RNAcentral lists this ribosomal RNA (520 nucleotides) under uncultured Paraglomus. RNAcentral's name for it is "bacterial SSU rRNA". It matches the Rfam family "Eukaryotic small subunit ribosomal RNA", at positions 569 to 1094 of the family's 1831-position model. The record is from RNAcentral. Lineage: Eukaryota; Fungi; Glomeromycota; Glomeromycetes; Paraglomerales; Paraglomeraceae.
AGCAGCCGCGGUAAUUCCAGCUCCAAUAGCGUAUAUUAAAGUUGUUGCAGUUAAAAAGCUCGUAGUUGAACCUUAGGCCCGUGCGGGCGGUCCGUCCUCUGGGCGAGCACUGCCUCGUCGCGGGUCUCACCUUCUGGCGAGCGUGGAUGCCAUUCAUUUGGUGUCCUUGGGAACCAGGACCUUUACCUUGAAAAAAUUAGAGUGCUCAAAGCGGGCUCUUACGCUUGAAUACAUUAGCAUGGAAUAAUGAAAUAGGACGACGGUUCUAUUUUGUUGGUUUCCGGGAUUGUCGUAAUGAUUAAUAGGGAUAGUUGGGGGCAUUCGUAUUCAAUUGUCAGAGGUGAAAUUCUUGGAUUUAUUGAAGACGGACUACUGCGAAAGCAUUUGCCAAGGAUGUUUUCAUUAAUCAAGAACGAAGUUGGGGAUCGAAGACGAUCAGAUACCGUCGUAGCCUCAACCAUAAACUAUGACCGACUGGGGAAUCGGGACGUAAGUUAGUUUUUCGUGUACUUCGCUCGGG